GUCGAACGGAUACCCCCAUGACUUUGGUGCUUGCACCUUAUAAUUGGAUUUUGGUAUCAGUGGCGAACGGGUGAGUAACACGUGGGUAACCUGCCCCUUAGUUGAGGAUAACUAUUGGAAACGAUAGCUAAUACUGAAUACGAUAUAUCUUCGCAUGAAUUUAUAUUAAAAGGAGCUUCGGCUUCGCUAAGGGAUGGACCUGCGGUGCAUUAGCUAGUUGGUGUGAUAAAAGCGCACCAAGGCGACGAUGCAUAGCCGGGCUGAGAGGCUGAACGGCCACAUUGGGACUGAGACACGGCCCAAACUUCUACGGAAGGCUGCAGUAGGGAAUUUUUCGCAAUGGACGAAAGUCUGACGAAGCAAUGCCGCGUGAGGGAUGACGGUUUUCGGAUUGUAAACCUCUGUUAUAAGAGAAGAACACUAGGUAUAGGAAAUGAUAUCUAGCUGACGUAUCUUAUCAGAAAGGGACGCUAACUACGUGCCAGCAGCCGCGGUAAUACGUA
Molecule: ribosomal RNA, 503 nt
Filed under: uncultured Bacillota bacterium
Lineage: Bacteria; Bacillati; Bacillota
Description: bacterial SSU rRNA
Rfam family: Bacterial small subunit ribosomal RNA
Source: RNAcentral